This 125-nucleotide small RNA is filed under the name Marmota monax (woodchuck). The record is from RNAcentral. Lineage: Eukaryota; Metazoa; Chordata; Mammalia; Rodentia; Sciuridae.
GCCAGGUGUGGUGGCACAAGCCUGUAAUCCCAGUGGCUCGGGAGGCUGAGGCAGGAGGAUCGAGAGUUCAAAGCCAGCCUCAGCAAAAGCAAGGCUCUAAGCAACUCAGUGAGACCCUGUCUCUA